GAUGAACGCUGACAGAAUGCUUAACACGUGCAAGUCUUUGGCGAAGCUGUGCUUGCACAGCCUAGCCAAGGCGGACGGGUGAGUAACGCGUAAGGGACUUGCCCUGCAGUCAGGGAUAACAGACGGAAACGACUGAUAAGACCUGGUAAAGUCAGGCGGACUCAUGUCCAGCCUGAUGAAAAGGAAUGCUGCAGGAGAGCCUUGCGUCCUAUUAGCUUGUUGGUGGGGUAACGGCCCACCAAGGCGAUGAUAGGUAGCCGGCCUGAGAGGGUGGACGGCCACAAGGGGACUGAGAUACGGCCCUUACUCCUACGGGAGGCAGCAGUGGGGAAUAUUGGACAAUGGGGGCAACCCUGAUCCAGCAAUUCUGUGUGCACGAUGAAGGUCUUCGGAUUGUAAAGUGCUUUCAGCAGGGAAGAAAAAAAUGACGGUACCUGCAGAAGAAGCGACGGCUAAAUACGUGCCAGCAGCCGCGGUAAUACGUAUGUCGCGAGCGUUAUC
RNAcentral lists this ribosomal RNA (501 nucleotides) under uncultured bacterium. Its description in RNAcentral is "bacterial SSU rRNA". It matches the Rfam family "Bacterial small subunit ribosomal RNA", at positions 28 to 545 of the family's 1533-position model. The record is from RNAcentral.